GCUGGGUUGGCUCAACUGGUAGAGCAGCUGAUUUGUAAUCAGCGGGUUGGGGGUUCGAGUCCCUCACCCAGCACCA
This 76-nucleotide transfer RNA is filed under the name Oligoflexia bacterium. RNAcentral's name for it is "tRNA-Thr". It matches the Rfam family "tRNA". Rfam says of the family: Transfer RNA (tRNA) molecules are approximately 80 nucleotides in length. Their secondary structure includes four short double-helical elements and three loops (D, anti-codon, and T loops). The record is from RNAcentral. Lineage: Bacteria; Pseudomonadati; Bdellovibrionota; Oligoflexia.